RNAcentral lists this ribosomal RNA (706 nucleotides) under uncultured Olsenella sp. RNAcentral describes it as "bacterial SSU rRNA". It matches the Rfam family "Bacterial small subunit ribosomal RNA", at positions 62 to 779 of the family's 1533-position model. The record is from RNAcentral. Lineage: Bacteria; Bacillati; Actinomycetota; Coriobacteriia; Coriobacteriales; Atopobiaceae.
UCGAACGGUUAAAGCACCUUCGGGUGUGUAUAGAGUGGCGAACGGCUGAGUAACACGUGGGCAACCUGCCCUUUGCAUCGGGACAGCCUCGGGAAACCGUGGUUAAUACCGGAUACUCCAUCUUUCUCACAUGAAAAAGAUGGGAAAGUGUUUAGCGGCAAGGGAUGGGCCCGCGCCCUGUUAGCUUGUUGGUGGGGUAAAAGCCUACCAAGGCAAUGAUGGGUAGCCGGGUUGAGAGACCGACCGGCCAGAUUGGGACUGAGACACGGCCCAGACUCCUACGGGAGGCAGCAGUGGGGAAUCUUGCACAAUGGGCGAAAGCCUGAUGCAGCGACGCCGCGUGCGGGAUGAAGGCCUUCGGGUUGUAAACCGCUUUCAGCAGGGACGAGGCGAAAGUGACGGUACCUGUAGAAGAAGCCCCGGCUAACUACGUGCCAGCAGCCGCGGUAAUACGUAGGGGGCAAGCGUUAUCCGGAUUCAUUGGGCGUAAAGCGCGCGUAGGCUGCCCAGUAGGUCGAGAGUUAAAUCCGGGGGCUCAACCCCCGUCCGCUCCCGAUACCGCUGGGCUUCGAGUCUGGUAGGGGAAGGUGGAAUUCCCAGUGUAGCGGUGGAAUGCGCAGAUAUUGGGAAGAACACCGGUGGCGAAGGCGGCCUUCUGGGCCAUGACUGACGCUGAGGCGCGAAAGCUAGGGGAGCGAACAGGAUU